This 140-nucleotide ribosomal RNA is filed under the name uncultured eukaryote. RNAcentral describes it as "partial 18S ribosomal RNA". It matches the Rfam family "Eukaryotic small subunit ribosomal RNA", at positions 1299 to 1458 of the family's 1831-position model. The record is from RNAcentral.
UGGUGGAGUGAUUUGUCUGGUUAAUUCCGCUAACGAACGAGACCUUAGCCUGCUAAAUAGUCGCUUCCAUCUCCGGAUGGAUGAUUGACUUCUUAGAGGGACUUUGUGUGUCUAACGCAAGGAAGUUUGAGGCAAUAACA